GCAAGUCGAACGGAAACGAUGGGAGCUUGCUCCCAGGCGUCGAGUGGCGGACGGGUGAGUAACACAUAGGAAUCUGCCCAGUAGCGGGGGACAACUUGGGGAAACUCAAGCUAAUACCGCAUACGCCCUACGGGGGAAAGCAGGGGAUCUUCGGACCUUGCACUAUUGGAUGAGCCUAAGUCGGAUUAGCUUGUUGGUGGGGUAAUGGCCUACCAAGGCGACGAUCUUUAGCUGGUCUGAGAGGACGAUC
This 250-nucleotide ribosomal RNA is filed under the name uncultured bacterium. Its description in RNAcentral is "partial 16S ribosomal RNA". It matches the Rfam family "Bacterial small subunit ribosomal RNA", at positions 57 to 305 of the family's 1533-position model. The record is from RNAcentral.